AUGCGCGCCUGGGGCUGAGUGACCGCUGCGGGACCGAGGGAGGGGGGUCUUGCCCGGGCAGCUGAAGGAAGCCUUCGGGCCUGGCUCAACGCCGGACAACGCCAACUUCCGAUCGGCCGCCGGAGGCGUUUGCGUCGAUGGCCAAGCCUGGGAGUGGGAAUUAGAUAGCUCCCACCCCAACAGUAGCCGCUAGUAGCUUCCACUAACCAAAUCAGCAUACAUUGUAAUAAAAAGGAACUUAAUUAGAAGACUCCUCUCUAGGGAAGGCAGCUUGAUGGAGAGUGUAGGAACCUGGCUUGCCUGUCUCCAGCCAUCUGCCACAUUAAAGAAGGCCUCCUAUGGCUGGAAUCCAAGACACAAAAUUAAAAGGGUUGCUUGCACCCAAAGUCAUAAAACAAAGAGGCUUUCUGAAGCAGGCCUUGGAGUGAAUACUCAUUUCUUCCUGACUUAAACAGCAUCUGUUUCUCCUGAUGCAUUAGAAGAACAGACUCCAGGUAGACAUUAGUCCAAGGAAGAUGAAAAUACACAUGGUGCAGAGUGGAUCCCAACCCACAGUCCAGAGCCUAGCUCAACAGACCUGCAAGCCUGAAGCACAGUUACCCACACGGAUUCACAGACCGAAGAAUGAGAAAAAGUAAUGUCUGUUGUUGUAUACCACUGAGAUUCUAGGUUUGUUUGUUAUGAAGCAAUAGCCAACUAAAAGCAUUCUUCACUUACCUUGUUUCUCACCCUCAUUUACUUUCUCAUUUAUUAAAUUACUAAAUGAUAGACCCAGGUCUUUAUUCAAUAAAGCAAUAAGUAUUUAUUGAAUACCUAAUAUGCAUCAAGAAUGUUUGGGGCAUCAGGAAUAAGACAUUAAAUAAAACAGACAAAUAUCAAGCUGUAAUAAACAGAUAAUUGUUAAAAGUGAGAAAGCAAAUAAAAUUUAAUAUGUGCCAUGGUAACAAGUACAUGGUAGAAAAACAAAACCAUGAUUGGAGUUGGCGGAGAGAGUGCUGGGGUGAAAAAUGAUGGCCGCUGUUAGAUGGAGCAGCCGGAGUUAAAUAGGGCUGCCCUUCCACUUUCAAUUCAGUGCCAAGUCUUAACAGUUUUGCCUUCAAACCAUAGCUCAAAUCCAUCCACUUAUCUCCAUGUCUACAAUCUCUUUUUUCUACUUCAGUCAUUUGAGUUUAACCCAUGUCUACAAUCUACAGAUAGACCCAGGUCCUAGACCAGGUCACCCUUAUUUCUCACCUGACUAUCUUCUGCCUCCACGCAGCUUCACUCUACUCCCUCUAUCACCCAGCAGCUAUUCCAUGUUGAAAAUAUAAAUAAGAUUAUGAUUACUCUCACAGUAAAGCUCUUCAAGAUCUUCCCAUUGCACUUCAUAUAAAAUCCCAACUUCCUCCCAUGGCCCUGCCCUAAGUGAUAUGAUCCUUGCCAUGGUCCACUUCUCGCAGGUGCCUUGCUCACACUGAUCUUCUUUCUGUUCCUCACAUAUCACAAAUUCUUCCCCAUAUUAGGAUCUUUGUACAUGUGGUCCCCUCACUUGUUCUCUCUCUCCACCUUGGAAACUUCUGAAUGUUUUGCCUGUCACUCCUGACUUUUCUUGAUCCUUCUCAUCAACCUUGGGUCUCAACUUCAAUGCCAAUUUCUUACAAAGGCCCUCCCUGGCCAUGUCUGCUUUCCCCACUGCACCCUACCUAGACUGGGUGCCCCCAUUGUAUGCUGCCAAAGCAUCCAGCUCUUUCUCUGCUGGAACUCACUUCCCACAUGUCAUGACUUGAUCAAAGUCUGUAUUCCCCACUGUAAUUAAGUUUCUCUUCAUAAGUGAGUCCUCAACGCAUAGAUCAGGGCCUGGCAUGCUAUAGUCCUUCAGUAAAGGGUCAUUGAAUUUUCUACUUCAAUUUUGGUCUUAGGUGUGCUCCUAGUUACAAUCACUUUGCUCCCAUUUAAUUUUUCUACAUUUCCUAAUCAAAUGUUAGUAUGUACGGGUGUGACUCCAUCUCCCAAGCAGAAACUCAGCCAUUAAACUUACCAUUCAUUUGUUCACUUAUUAAUUCAAUAUAAAAUAUUUAUAUAGUAUCUACUCCAUGCCGGGCACUGUGUCAAGGCCUGGGAAUACAAAGGUGAGUUGUACUUUCCCUGUCCUAGUGAAGUUAACUGUCUCCUAGGGGAUGCUUGAUUGUCUUCUGUCUUCAAAAUCUAUAAACAGUAGAUGGAAGACUCAAAAACUAAAAAUCAAACACCUAUCCUUUCAAAGCUGUAAGCCUAAGUAUUCUCAGUGGAGGAGACUCUUCUUACCUUUAAGGAACUCCUUGUUUUGUGAAAAGCUCCCACCUAUAAUAGACCAUUUAAUUACAAAAAUGUAAGACAAGGACUUUUUCUGAAGUAGAGUUUUUAGCACUGAAGGGUUAACUAUUCAGUCUGAUCAUUGGAAAGGGUGUUACAAGAAAAGCUGCAUCCCACUCAACUACAGUACCUGAAAUGUUUCAUUGCUAAGUAUAGAUUUUUUUAGAAUAGCUUUAUAGUUUUUGCACAAAUAAUGCAUGUUUAUUGGGAAAAUUCAAAUUAUAGCAAAAAGGCCAAAAAACAUAAAAAUUACUUAAAAUCCCAUGAAUCAGAAAUGAUCAUGGUCAAUACAUUGGUGGAACAUCUUACAAGACAUCUCUUUACACACACACACACACACACACACACACACACAAAUAGCUGAUAUGGAUUAAGCACUUACUUUAUGCAAAGUACAGAGCACCAUGCCUUUUAUAUUUGAUGAAAUGCUGCAAUAACCUUACAGUGUAGUCAUGAUUACCAACAUUAUCAUUCUCCUUUUUGUAAAGGAAGUAACUAAGGCACAAACCAAUAAGGAACAGGCUGUUGAGAAUGCACAUAUUCCUACAUGCUGUAUGGGUUUAUAACUCUCAGAAGUGUUUUAAUGUGCCUUGGAAACUGCCUUGUUUUAGAAACUGGUGUUUGCAAAAUGCUUUGUUGAUCAUUAAAGGAUAUAAGAGAACUUGUUUGAAAUAUUUUGGAUGUGAAUCCUGUUUCUUACUUUGUUACAUUCUGUAAAAUCUUGUAUUCUCUGCCUUCUAUAGCACAGUCCCUUCCAACGUCUCCUAGCAUCUCCAAUACCACCCCCUUUUUCCUUGUCAUUAAACUGGUAUUUUUGUUGUCCACACUGCUCCCACUUCCUACUGGGCCAUCACGUUGCCAUCAACACACCUUUGCUUUUAUAGUAACCACUAAAGAUGUCCCUUCCUGCAGCCAGUGCUACCUUUCCUUCCCAGGCCACCUUACAUUUCUCCUCCUCCUUCAUGACCCGGCUCAUCCUCAAAGAUCUUUUCUUGAUGCUUGAAAUUGUGGGAGGUGCAUAAAAAGGAAAAGAUAUGCACCAUGUCAAAAUGGAGAGAGGUGAGGGGUUUCACAGCCAUUUCACAGAUAAGAAAAUGGAGGUUCAGAGAACUGAAGUCAAUUCCUGAGUUUAUACACAUAGCAAUGAAACUAGAAUUCAAAUCCAGGUGAACCUAACUCUCAAAUUCUUGUUCUAACCAUGACACAAUACUGCCUGCAAUAUUGUCAAGAGCAAUACUGCUCUUGACUCACUCUUUUUGAGACACAGAACCAUUCUAAACUUUUGCACUCUAACAAAAAUGACACUUAUGAAUCCUGUGAUCAAUGUCAGGGAACAAUACUCUGUUAAACCAAGCUGAGAAAACAAUAGGUUACUUAAGAGAAUGAAUAAAUAAAUGUGUCAAUGUGCA
Callithrix jacchus (white-tufted-ear marmoset) is the source of this 3740-nucleotide long non-coding RNA. RefSeq lists it as uncharacterized. NCBI's taxonomy places the organism in Eukaryota, Metazoa, Chordata, Mammalia, Primates, Cebidae. The record is from RefSeq and is a predicted model, not a curated record.